RNAcentral lists this long non-coding RNA (558 nucleotides) under Coffea arabica (coffee). Its description in RNAcentral is "long non-coding RNA (CARA_LNC005200)". Lineage: Eukaryota; Viridiplantae; Streptophyta; Magnoliopsida; Gentianales; Rubiaceae. The record is from RNAcentral.
GGGGUUUCUUUAAAAGAAUUAGGCGGUGAACCCCUUUUUUCUUUCCUUUGGAAUUUAGAGAAGUAGUUAGCCUUUCUUUCUUCUUCUUCAAUAUUUUUAUUUUAUUUUAAAAUUUUCCCCCUUUUGGUGGUAGAAAAGCUUAAAGAAGUGGUCGGCCAAUAAGAAUAAGAAACAGAAGGCAGACAAAGAAUUUGUUGAAAGGUGAGAUGAAUGAAUGAAUGAAUCCAAUAUCCGUCUGGAUUAGAUUAUAUUCUCAUAGAUCAGAGGCAACAAGGAGGUCCUACGCAGCGUCAGAUUUGUAUGCAUGGAUAUGUCCUUGUUUGGAGUAUAUUCUUGGUUCAUGUGAUUAUAUCCCAUCCGGUGAAUGUAGCAACAAUUACGCUUUCCCAGUUAGUAAAACUGAAGAAAUCAAUCUUAUUUCUCAUACCCUUUUGCUCUUGCCUAUAGACUUUAACAGAUUGCUACACAGCAUCAUGUUUUCCUUUUUGAAGAAGUGCAUGUUUUACCCAAAAUGGUUCACUUAUCAACGUUAUGAUGUUAGUUAAAAAACAAAAAAAA